UGAACAACAUGACAGCCUUGAUGCAAUAGCAGGUUAAUGGGUAGUUCAGGAAAUAUAGUGAGACUGCCAUGGCCAGAGUUCCAAACCAGGAUGCUGUGGUCCAACAGCUAGACCUUUCUUAUGGCCCCCCACCGAUAUUAGCAUGGCCAUACCAAGAGAACCCUCUCAUAGUACAGAUAGCUGAAGUACCGGAGCAUGGAGGGAUCCAAGCUGGACAGAGGGGAGGAGCCCUUCCC
RNAcentral lists this long non-coding RNA (236 nucleotides) under Prunus persica (peach). RNAcentral's name for it is "long non-coding RNA (PPER_LNC005235)". The record is from RNAcentral. Lineage: Eukaryota; Viridiplantae; Streptophyta; Magnoliopsida; Rosales; Rosaceae.